RNAcentral lists this ribosomal RNA (305 nucleotides) under uncultured bacterium. Its description in RNAcentral is "bacterial SSU rRNA". It matches the Rfam family "Bacterial small subunit ribosomal RNA", at positions 333 to 656 of the family's 1533-position model. The record is from RNAcentral.
CAUCUCCUACGGGGGGCAGCAGUAGGGAAUCUUUCACAAUGGGCGAAAGCCUGAUGGAGCAACGCCGCGUGCGGGAUGACGGCCCUCGGGUUGUAAACCGCUUUCAGCAGGGAAGAUAUUGACGGUACCUGCAGAAGAAGCUCCGGCUAACUACGUGCCAGCAGCCGCGGUAAUACGUAGGGAGCGAGCGUUAUCCGGAUUCAUUGGGCGUAAAGCGCGCGUAGGCGGCUGCCUAAGCGGAACCUCUAACCCCGGGGCUCAACCUCGGGCCGGGUUCCGAACUGGGCGGCUCGAGUGCGGUAGAG